This 124-nucleotide small nuclear RNA is filed under the name Nicotiana attenuata. RNAcentral's name for it is "snRNA U5". It matches the Rfam family "U5 spliceosomal RNA". Rfam says of the family: U5 RNA is a component of both types of known spliceosome. The record is from Rfam by way of RNAcentral. Lineage: Eukaryota; Viridiplantae; Streptophyta; Magnoliopsida; Solanales; Solanaceae.
AGCCAUGCAGUGAGCCCAAAGCGAACUAUUCUUUCGCCUUUUACUAAAGAAUACCGUGUGCGCAUUGCAAUUAGUGGCAUACUCCAAUUUUUUGGGGGGGGGGGGUGCUCUCUUUUUGAGUGCC